GACGAACGCUGGCGGCGUGCUUAACACAUGCAAGUCGAACGGAAAGGCCCUGCUUUUGUGGGGUGCUCGAGUGGCGAACGGGUGAGUAACACGUGAGUAACCUGCCCUUGACUUUGGGAUAACUUCAGGAAACUGGGGCUAAUACCGGAUAGGAGCUCCUGCUGCAUGGUGGGGGUUGGAAAGUUUCGGCGGUUGGGGAUGGACUCGCGGCUUAUCAGCUGGUUGGGGGGGUAGUGGCUUACCAAGGCUUUGACGGGUAGCCGGCCUGAGAGGGUGACCGGCCACAUUGGGACUGAGAUACGGCCCAGACGCCUACGGGAGGCAGCAGUGGGGAAUAUUGCACAAUGGGCGGAAGCCUGAUGCAGCAACGCCGCGUGCGGGAUGACGGCCUUUGGGUUGUAAACCGCUUUCGCCUGUGACGAAGCGUGAGUGACGGUAAUGGGUAAAGAAGCACCGGCUAACUACGUG
Molecule: ribosomal RNA, 468 nt
Filed under: uncultured bacterium
Lineage: Bacteria
Description: partial 16S ribosomal RNA
Rfam family: Bacterial small subunit ribosomal RNA
Source: RNAcentral